ACGGAUCCUUCGGGAUUAGUGGCAGACGGGUGAGUAACGCGUGGGAAGCUACCUUGUGGUAGGGGACAACAGUUGGAAACGACUGCUAAUACCCUAUGAGCCCUAUGGGGGAAAGAUUUAUCGCCAUGAGAUGUGCCCGCGUUAGAUUAGCUAGUUGGUAAGGUAAUGGCUUACCAAGGCGACGAUCUAUAGCUGGUCUGAGAGGAUGAUCAGCCACACUGGGACUGAGACACGGCCCAGACUCCUACGGGAGGCAGCAGUGGGGAAUAUUGGACAAUGGGGGCAACCCUGAUCCAGCCAUGCCGCGUGUGUGAUGACGGCCUUAGGGUUGUAAAGCACUUUCAGCACUGAAGAUAAUGACAUUAACUGCAUAAGAAGCCCCGGCUAACUUCGUGCCAUCAGCCGCGGUAAUACGAAGGGGGCUAGCGUUGUUCGGAAUCACUGGGCGUAAAGAGUACGUAGGCGGACUG
This 470-nucleotide ribosomal RNA is filed under the name Pseudovibrio sp. AU56. Its description in RNAcentral is "bacterial SSU rRNA". It matches the Rfam family "Bacterial small subunit ribosomal RNA", at positions 66 to 582 of the family's 1533-position model. Lineage: Bacteria; Pseudomonadati; Pseudomonadota; Alphaproteobacteria; Hyphomicrobiales; Stappiaceae. The record is from RNAcentral.